GGGACCCGACCCGACCCGUUACUAUAUAAAGGCUUAAAGCUAAAUCCCUAAAUCCCUUCGGCCUUCCUCUCUUUUCGAUCCCGUAUUUCCGUGUGGCCGACGGCCGUGCCCUAGAUCUCGAUCGCCUUCCAGCCUUCCUCUCCUUUUCGAUCCCGUGCGGCUGUGCCCACUGCCCAGCAGCCCAGGUGCCCUGGAUCUUGAGCGCCUUCCUCUCUUUUUCGAUCCCGUGCGAUCGUGCCCAGGUGCCCCGUGCCCUAGAUCUUGAGCUGCGGCGGCGGAGAAGAGUAGACCGCUUCCGUGUGGCCGUGCCCGACUUCCGGCUCUCCAGUCUCCAGUCCGCGGAUCUCCCCCUUGGCCUCUCCCCAUUCUUCAGCGUCCCAAGGACCUUGCUGUACGCCUGUACCAGAUCUUGAGCUGCGGCGGCGGAGAAGAGAAGACAGCUUCUGUGCCCGGUGCGGCGGUGCCCUA
Molecule: non-coding RNA, 468 nt
Organism: Phoenix dactylifera (date palm)
Lineage: Eukaryota; Viridiplantae; Streptophyta; Magnoliopsida; Arecales; Arecaceae
Source: RefSeq, a predicted model, not a curated record